RNAcentral lists this transfer RNA (78 nucleotides) under Streptomyces sp. yr375. RNAcentral describes it as "tRNA_Pseudo_CAT". It matches the Rfam family "tRNA", at positions 17 to 71 of the family's 71-position model. From Rfam's summary of the family: Transfer RNA (tRNA) molecules are approximately 80 nucleotides in length. Their secondary structure includes four short double-helical elements and three loops (D, anti-codon, and T loops). The record is from RNAcentral. Lineage: Bacteria; Bacillati; Actinomycetota; Actinomycetes; Kitasatosporales; Streptomycetaceae.
GGGGCGAGUUUCGGCGUAUACCAGGGCAGCGGACUCAUAAUCCGUCGGCCGUGGGUUCGAGUCCCACCCGCCUCACCU